Molecule: ribosomal RNA, 870 nt
Filed under: uncultured bacterium
Lineage: Bacteria
Description: bacterial SSU rRNA
Rfam family: Bacterial small subunit ribosomal RNA
Source: RNAcentral
UGAAUAGCAAUAUUUGACCUAGAGUGACGUACGGGUGCGUAACACGUAUGCAACCUACCCUUUACAGGAGGAUAGCUCGGGGAAACUCGAAUUAACCCUCCAUAACAUAGUGCUGUGGCAUCACAGUAUUAUUAAAACUCUGGUGGUAAAGGAUGGGCAUGCGUCUGAUUAGUUAGUUGGCGGGGUAAUGGCCCACCAAGACGAUGAUCAGUAGGGGAACUGAGAGGUUGAUCCCCCACACUGGCACUGAGAUACGGGCCAGACUCCUACGGGAGGCAGCAGUAGGGAAUAUUGGUCAAUGGAUGCAAGUCUGAACCAGCCAUGCCGCGUGCAGGAAGAAGGCCUUCUGGGUUGUAAACUGCUUUUGCCAGGGGAUAAAAAUUCCAUGCGUGGAAGAUUGAAGGUACCUGGUGAAUAAGCCACGGCUAACUACGUGCCAGCAGCCGCGGUAAUACGUAGGUGGCAAGCGUUGUCCGGAUUUAUUGGGUUUAAAGGGUGCGUAGGCGGUUUUGUAAGUCAGUGGUGAAAUAUAGCAGCUUAACUGUUAGGGUGCCAUUGAUACUGCAGAACUUGAGUACAGAUGAGGUAGGCGGAAUUGACGGUGUAGCGGUGAAAUGCUUAGAUAUCGUCAAGAACACCUAUAGCGAAGGCAGCUUACUAGGCUGUAACUGACGCUGAGGCACGAAAGUGUGGGGAUCAACCAGGAUUAGAUACCCUGGUAGUCCACACUGUAAACGUUGAUUACUCGCUGUGUGCGAUAUACAGUACGCGGCCAAGCGAAAGCGAUAAGUAAUCCACCUGGGGAGUACGCCGGCAACGGUGAAACUCAAAGGAAUUGACGGGGGUCCGCACAAGCGGUGGAGCAUGUGG